This 315-nucleotide ribosomal RNA is filed under the name Triticum aestivum (bread wheat). RNAcentral's name for it is "partial small subunit ribosomal RNA". The record is from RNAcentral. Lineage: Eukaryota; Viridiplantae; Streptophyta; Magnoliopsida; Poales; Poaceae.
AUGCUUCUACCUUUUGGAAAAGGAGUUACUUGGGCCUCUAAUGCUGUUAGGUAUGGUUAUGGGUGGUCUCUAGGUAAUGGUGAACAAAUUAGCUUUUGGGAAGACUGCUGGUUUGGUUCUUCCUCUCUCUCAAUUCAGUUUUGGGACCUUUACUAUAUCUGUAUGGAGCAGGGAAAAAUCAUUAGGCAGGUUUGGGAUGGUGAGACUCUAAAACUCACAUUCAGGGUCCUCCCCCCUAUACUAAUGGACUCAUGGUAUGAGCUAGAAGCAAUUGCAAAAAGUAUUGUGUUCACUAGGAUGGAGAGAAAGGAGUAG